ACUCAAAGGAAUUGACGGGGACCCGCACAAGCGGUGGAUGAUGUGGAUUAAUUCGAUGCAACGCGAACAACCUUACCUACCCUUGACAUGUCCGGAAGUCUGCUGAAAGGUGGAUGUGCUCGAAAGAGAACCGGAACACAGGUGCUGCAUGGCUGUCGUCAGCUCGUGUCGUGAGAUGUUGGGUUAAGUCCCGCAACGAGCGCAACCCUUGUCCCUAGUUGCUACGCAAGGGCACUCUAGGGAGACUGCCGGUGACAAACCGGAGGAAGGUGGGGAUGACGUCAAGUCCUCAUGGCCCUUAUGGGUAGGGCUUCACACGUCAUACAAUGGUCGGUACAGAGGGUCGCCAACCCGCGAGGGGGAGCCAAUCCCAGAAAGCCGAUCGUAGUCCGGAUUGCAGUCUGCAACUCGACUGCAUGAAGUCGGAAUCGCUAGUAAUCGUGGAUCAGCAUGUCACGGUGAAUACGUUCCCGGGUCUUGUACACACCGCCCGU
Molecule: ribosomal RNA, 494 nt
Filed under: uncultured bacterium
Lineage: Bacteria
Description: partial 16S ribosomal RNA
Rfam family: Bacterial small subunit ribosomal RNA
Source: RNAcentral